Molecule: ribosomal RNA, 693 nt
Filed under: Triticum aestivum (bread wheat)
Lineage: Eukaryota; Viridiplantae; Streptophyta; Magnoliopsida; Poales; Poaceae
Description: partial small subunit ribosomal RNA
Source: RNAcentral
AUGACAGUCCUGGCCUUUGGAGCCGCCGCUACCUGGCCGGAGGCCGUCGUCCAGUGCCUCCUCUUCGUCCUCGCCGCGGGUAUGCUCGUGGCCCUCCACUCCCUCCCCCGCCGAGUUGCCCAUCGUCUCCGCCGCGGCGCCAGCGGCUCCUCGGCCGCUCAAUCGCGCCGGCACUUCGCGCUGGGUGCCCAGCUCCUCGCCCGCGCGCGAGCCGCUGCUCCGAAGCCCCCGGGCCCGCUCGCCCGCGCGGCCCUCGCCGAGGCCGACCGCGCCAUCGCGCUCGACCCCCGCGACGCAGCGCCGCUGAUCCUCAAGGCCCUCGCCCUCGACCUCCAGGGUCACCGCCUCCCCGCGCUGCGCACCCUCGACGUCGCCCUGGCGCCGCCGCUCGCGCGAUCCCUGGAACCGCGGGAGCGCGGGGACGCGCUCGCCAAGCGCGCCGAGAUCGCGCUAGCGCUUAACCGCCGCCGCCGCCUCGAUCAGGCCGCCGCAGAUCUCACCGAGGCCGUCCGCCUUAGCCCCGAGAACCCCCGCGCUCAUGCUCUGCUUGGCGAGUGCUACGAGAGGAAGGGCCUCACUGCCGAAGCCAGGAACUCCUUCAAGACCGCCGCGUCAAUCGACCCAUCUCUGGCUACUGCGCACGACGGCCUCCGUCGGACAGGCGCAGGCAGCGAAGUCAACGAGAGUGACUGA